This 402-nucleotide ribosomal RNA is filed under the name bacterium. RNAcentral's name for it is "partial 16S ribosomal RNA". It matches the Rfam family "Bacterial small subunit ribosomal RNA", at positions 355 to 776 of the family's 1533-position model. The record is from RNAcentral.
UGGGGAAUUUUGCACAAUGGGGGAAACCCUGAUGCAGCGACGCCGCGUGAUUUAGAAGGCCUUCGGGUUGUAAAAAUCUUUUCUAUGGGAAGAAAAUGACAGUACCAUAGGAAUAAGGACCGGCUAAUUACGUGCCAGCAGCCGCGGUAAUACGUAAGGUCCGAGCGUUGUCCGGAAUCAUUGGGCGUAAAGGGUACGUAGGCGGGUAAGCAAGUUAGAAGUGAAAUCCUAUAGCUCAACUAUAGUAAGCUUUUAAAACUGCUCAUCUUGAGGUAUGGAAGGGAAAGUGGAAUUCCUAGUGUAGCGGUGAGAUGCGCAGAUAUUAAGAGGAAUACCGGUGGCGGAGGAGACUUUCUGGCCAUAACCUGACGCUGAGGUACGAAAGCGUGAGUAGCAAACAGG